GCCGGUGUGGCGGAAUUGGUAGACGCGGUGGAUUCAAAAUCCAUUUCUCGCAAGAGAGUGGGGGUUCGAGCCCCUCCACCGGUACAA
RNAcentral lists this transfer RNA (87 nucleotides) under Fidelibacterota bacterium. RNAcentral's name for it is "tRNA-Leu". It matches the Rfam family "tRNA". Rfam says of the family: Transfer RNA (tRNA) molecules are approximately 80 nucleotides in length. Their secondary structure includes four short double-helical elements and three loops (D, anti-codon, and T loops). Lineage: Bacteria; Pseudomonadati; Fidelibacterota. The record is from RNAcentral.